This 354-nucleotide ribosomal RNA is filed under the name uncultured bacterium. RNAcentral describes it as "SSU rRNA". It matches the Rfam family "Bacterial small subunit ribosomal RNA", at positions 26 to 374 of the family's 1533-position model. The record is from RNAcentral.
AGAACGAACGCUGGCGGCGUGGAUAAGACAUGCAAGUCGAACGCGACUUAUUCUGUUAGCAAUAACAGGAUAAGUUGAGUGGCGAAAGGGUGCGUAACACGUGGGAAUUUACCAAGAAGUGGGGAAUAGCUCGACGAAAGUCGAAUUAAUACCGCAUGUGGUCGCAAGACCAAAGCCGGGGACCGCAAGGCCUGGCGCUUUUUGAGAAGCCCGCGGCCCAUCAGCUAGUUGGUGAGGUAAUGGCUCACCAAGGCUAUGACGGGUAGCUGGUCUGAGAGGACGACCAGCCACACUGGAACUGAGACACGGUCCAGACACCUACGGGUGGCAGCAGUCGAGAAUUUUUCACAAUGG